RNAcentral lists this unclassified non-coding RNA (192 nucleotides) under plant metagenome. Its description in RNAcentral is "partial contains small subunit ribosomal RNA and internal transcribed spacer 1". The stretch from base 1 to 46 matches the Rfam family "Eukaryotic small subunit ribosomal RNA", at positions 1786 to 1831 of the family's 1831-position model. The record is from RNAcentral.
AAGUCGUAACAAGGUUUCCGUAGGUGAACCUGCGGAAGGAUCAUUACUGUAUUAGGGCCCUCACGGGUCCGACAUACCCACCCUUGUGUAUUUAUACCAUGUUGCUUUGGCGCCUGUGGCCUCAAAACCGCCUGCGCCAGAGGCCUAAACUCUGUUAAUUAAUGUCGUCUGAGUACUAUAUAAUAGUUAAAA